This 74-nucleotide transfer RNA is filed under the name Anaerolineales bacterium. Its description in RNAcentral is "tRNA-Met". It matches the Rfam family "tRNA". Rfam says of the family: Transfer RNA (tRNA) molecules are approximately 80 nucleotides in length. Lineage: Bacteria; Bacillati; Chloroflexota; Anaerolineae; Anaerolineales. The record is from RNAcentral.
GCCGAGGUAGCUCAGCUGGCGAGAGCGCGCCACUCAUAAUGGCGAGGUCGGGAGUUCGAAUCUCCCCCUCGGCA